This 209-nucleotide microRNA precursor is filed under the name Oryza glumipatula. Its description in RNAcentral is "MIR812 microRNA precursor family". It matches the Rfam family "MIR812 microRNA precursor family". Lineage: Eukaryota; Viridiplantae; Streptophyta; Magnoliopsida; Poales; Poaceae. The record is from Rfam by way of RNAcentral.
AAUAAGUACAGUUUUACACUAUUCACGUUCAACGUUUGACCGUCCAUCUUAUUUGAAAAUUUUGUGAAAAAAUUAAAAACAUUUAGUCACACAUAAAGUACUAUUUAUGUUUUAUCAUCUAAUAGCAAUAAAAAUACUAAUCAUAAAAAAUUUUCAAAUAAGAUGGACGGUCAAACGUUGAACGUAAAUAGUGUAAAACUGCACUUAUU